AUACAUGUUUAUUUAACACACUAGAAUUAAACAUGUAUUCGCUCCCAGCUGCGUUUUGGUCCGCUUCCUCGUCUCCCGACGACAAUCGUUACAGAACAACCCACCGAACCAGGACCAAGCAGCGGGAGGAAAAGGAGCGCGAGAGAUGGGCUCGCGAGGGAAAGGAGUUCUGGACCUGGGAGGAGAUCAUGUCGGGGAAAGGACCCUGGCGGACGGACUCCCAGGUCGAGGAGGAAAAGCCAGCCGGUAGACGGAGUCGCAGGCGGCGGUCGAGGAGGCCCGGAAAACAGCCCCAAGAAAAUUUUGGGGGGGGGCUAAUGGGGUGGUCCGGAAGGGCAGAGGAAGAGCCCAGACCACUGCUCUCGUGGGGGAUGACGGCGGAGGAAGAGAAGGAGAUGAGGCGUUUGAUUGAGGACCUGCAGAGGGAAGAUCUGGAGGAGGAGCCAUGGUAUGCUGAGUUGCGCGCUGUGUCGCCAGUGCGCCCGCACAGCCCGGUGCGUCCGGUGGACAUGCCCAGCACAUGCCGUGCUAGGAUGGGCAUCCAGCCAGGACGAGUGGCUAAACCGGCUCCACGCUUCAGGUCACCAGUGCGUGUUCACAGUCCUGUCUGGCCCGUUCCUGUUCCCCGCACCAAGCCCACGGUGCGUGUCCCCAGUCCUGUCCGGCCCGUCCCUGCUCCCCGCACCAAGCCAUGGUAUGCAGAGUUGCGCGCUGUGUCGCCAGUGCGCCCGCACAGCCCAGUGCGUCCGGUGGACAUGCCCAGCACAUGCCGUGCUAGGAUGGGCAUCCAGCCAGGACGAGUGGCUAAACCGGCUCCACGCUUCAGGUCACCAGUACGUGUUCACAGUCCUGUCUGGCCCGUCCCUGCUCCCCGCACCAGGUUAGUGGUGCGUGUCCCCAGUCCUGUCCGGCCCGUCCCUGCUCCCCGCACCAGGUUAGUGGUGCGUGUCCCCAGUCCUGUCCGGCCCGUCCCUGCUCCCCGCACCAGGUUAGUGGUGCGUGUCCCCAGUCCUGUCUGGCCCGUCCCUGCUCCCCGCACCAAGUCAGUGGUGCGUGUCCCCAGUCCGGUCCGGCCCGUCCCUGCUCCCCGCACCAAGUCAGUGGUGCGUGUCCCCAGUCCUGUCCGGCCCGUCCCUGCUCCCCGCACCAGGUUAGUGGUGCGUGUCCCCAGUCCUGUCCGGCCCGUCCCUGCUCCCCGCACCAGGUUAGUGGUGCGUGUCCCCAGUCCGGCCCGGCCCGUCCCUGCUCCCCGCACCAGGUUAGUGGUGCGUGUCCCCAGUCCUGUCCGGCCCGUCCCUGCUCCCCGCACCAGGUUAGUGGUGCGUGUCCCCAGUCCUGUCCGGCCCAUCCCUGUUCCCCGCACCAAGCCCACGGUGCGUGUCCACAGUCCUGUCCGGCCCGUCCCUGUUCCCCGCACCAAGCCCACGGUGCGUGUCCACAGUCCUGUCCGGCCCGUCCCUGUUCCCCGCACCAAGCCCACGGUGCGUGUCCACAGUCCUGUCCGGCCCGUUCCUGUUCCCCGC
This 1523-nucleotide long non-coding RNA is filed under the name Salmo trutta (river trout). Its description in RNAcentral is "lncRNA (ENSSTUG00000005051.1)". Lineage: Eukaryota; Metazoa; Chordata; Actinopteri; Salmoniformes; Salmonidae. The record is from RNAcentral.